UAGGCGUAAAUGAUGCGAGUUAAGUGUGGGGGCAUCUACGAGAUGGCCCUGUGCUGUAGGGUAGCCGUUAAACUCGCUGCCUGGGGAGUACGGUCGCAAGGCUGAAACUUAAAGGAAUUGGCGGGGGGAGCACCACAAGAGGUGGAGGCUGCGGUUCAAUUGGACUCAACGCCGGAAAUCUUACCGGGACCGACAGCAACAUGAAGGCCAGGCUGAAGACUUUGCCGGAUUAGCUGAGAGGAGGUGCAUGGCGUAGUCGUGU
RNAcentral lists this ribosomal RNA (262 nucleotides) under uncultured archaeon. RNAcentral's name for it is "partial 16S ribosomal RNA". It matches the Rfam family "Archaeal small subunit ribosomal RNA", at positions 748 to 1009 of the family's 1478-position model. The record is from RNAcentral.